GUAGGUGGCAAGCGUUGUCCGGAAUUAUUGGGCGUAAAGCGCGCGCAGGCGGUUCUUUAAGUCUGAUGUGAAAGCCCACGGCUCAACCGUGGAGGGUCAUUGGAAACUGGAGAACUUGAGUACAGAAGAGGAAAGCGGAAUUCCACGUGUAGCGGUGAAAUGCGUAGAGAUGUGGAGGAACACCAGUGGCGAAGGCGGCUUUCUGGUCUGUAACUGACGCUGAGGCGCGAAAGCGUGGGGAGCAAACGGGGGAUUAGAUACCCUGGUAGUCCACGCCGUAAACGAUGAGUGCUAAGUGUUAGGGGGUUUCCCGCCCCUUAGUGCUGCAGCUAACGCAUUAAGCACUCCGCCUGGGGAGUACGGCCGCAAGGCUG
This 374-nucleotide ribosomal RNA is filed under the name uncultured organism. Its description in RNAcentral is "partial 16S ribosomal RNA". It matches the Rfam family "Bacterial small subunit ribosomal RNA", at positions 527 to 896 of the family's 1533-position model. The record is from RNAcentral.